AUUUGUUGUUAGUCGUUGUUUCUGUGUUCUCCAAUUUGGUGCGACAAAAAUCAAUCUUCUUCUUUGCUUUCUCUUCUUAUCUUCUCCUUCCCAAUCCAAUUGCACUCGAAGAAGAAGAAGAUGCGGCGCUCUGCUACAAGGAAGACCGGUCAACCCAAUUCAGCUUCCGUUAAUUCUUCCGCCGUCGAUCUCUUUCGUUCCGCUUCAAGUCGAGCAAGCUCAAAAGAGUUGGAACGGAUCGAUAGCCUAUUUUACUCAUAUGCCAAUGGCUCUUCUGGUUUGAUCGAUCCAGAAGGAAUUGAAAGUCUUUGUUCAGACAUGGAAGUGAAUCCCACUGAUGUAAGAAUCUUGAUGCUUGCGUGGAAAAUGCAAUCUGAAAAACAAGGAUACUUUACCCUGGAAGAAUGGCGCACAGGCCUCAAGUCCCUGAGGGCAGACACUGUUAGUAAAUUAAAGAAGGCUCUACCAGAUCUUGAGAAAGAGGUAAGGAGGCUGUCAAACUUUGUGGACUUCUAUUCUUAUGCAUUUCGGUAUUGUUUAACAGAGGAUAAGCAAAAGAGUAUUGACAUAGAGAGUAUAUGCGAGUUGCUGGAUCUUGUUUUAGGGUCCGAGUUUCAUGCCCAAGUCCAUGCAUUUAUCGAAUACUUGAAGAUACAAAGUGACUAUAAGGUUAUUAACAUGGAUCAAUGGAUGGGCUUCUUUCGAUUCUGCAAUGAGAUAAGUUUUCCAGACCUGAGCAAUUACGACUCAGAACUCGCUUGGCCGUUGAUCCUCGACAAUUUCGUCGAAUGGUUACAAGCAAAACAGAGCUAAAAAACCUGAUGUCUUCAUCAUACAAUGUAUUUGAUGUAUACGCCAUAGUUAUUGAAGCUCAUCUUCGAUUACACAUUUGCAUAGCAGCAGGAUUUUCACUCAUUAUUCCUUUACUCUCUCAACUUCUUUGAAAUCAAUGGUAAUCCCCAUUAUGUUAAAAUUAUCAUUUCAAACAUUCAUGGAUUAUUCUUCUGCUAAUUUACUACAGUUUCUUCCCAUUCUUCAUCAUCACGUUAGCCAUUCAAUUGACUGACUACUUUGCAGACUUUUUGUGUAUCCUUUAAAACAAUUUAAACCAAACCCUUUGAAUGAACGAAAGCAAAAGGCUUUAUCACA
Non-coding RNA from Cucurbita pepo subsp. pepo (vegetable marrow), 1149 nucleotides. The record is from RefSeq and is a predicted model, not a curated record. NCBI's taxonomy places the organism in Eukaryota, Viridiplantae, Streptophyta, Magnoliopsida, Cucurbitales, Cucurbitaceae.